This 253-nucleotide ribosomal RNA is filed under the name uncultured bacterium. Its description in RNAcentral is "partial 16S ribosomal RNA". It matches the Rfam family "Bacterial small subunit ribosomal RNA", at positions 524 to 776 of the family's 1533-position model. The record is from RNAcentral.
UACGUAGGGUGCAAGCGUUAAUCGGAAUUACUGGGCGUAAAGCGUGCGCAGGCGGUGAUGUAAGACAGAUGUGAAAUCCCCGGGCUCAACCUGGGACCUGCAUUUGUGACUGCAUCGCUAGGGUACGGUAGAGGGGGAUGGAAUUCCGCGUGUAGCAGUGAAAUGCGUAGAUAUGCGGAGGAACACCGAUGGCGAAGGCAAUCCCCUGGACCUGUACUGACGCUCAUGCACGAAAGCGUGGGGAGCAAACAGG